Molecule: ribosomal RNA, 810 nt
Filed under: uncultured Sphingobacteriia bacterium
Lineage: Bacteria; Pseudomonadati; Bacteroidota; Sphingobacteriia
Description: bacterial SSU rRNA
Rfam family: Bacterial small subunit ribosomal RNA
Source: RNAcentral
CAAGUCGAGGGGCAGCAGGUUUGUAGCAAUACAGAUGCUGGCGACCGGCAAACGGGUGCGGAACACGUACAGAACCUUCCUUUAAGUGGGGGAUAGCCCAGGGAAACUUGGAUUAAUACCCCGUAAUAUAUAGAAGUGGCAUCACUUUUAUAUUAUAGCUCAGGCGCUUGAAGAUGGCUGUGCGGCUGAUUAGGUAGUUGGCGGGGUAACGGCCCACCAAGCCUGCGAUCAGUAACUGGUGUGAGAGCACGACCAGUCACACGGGCACUGAGACACGGGCCCGACUCCUACGGGAGGCAGCAGUAAGGAAUAUUGGGCAAUGGACGCAAGUCUGACCCAGCUAUGCCGCGUGGAGGAUGAAGGUCCUCUGGAUUGUAAACUUCUUUUAUCUGGGAAGAAACCUAUUUUUUCUAAAAUAGCUGACGGUACCAGGUGAAUAAGCACCGGCUAACUCCGUGCCAGCAGCCGCGGUAAUACGGAGGGUGCAAGCGUUAUCCGGAUUCACUGGGUUUAAAGGGUGCGUAGGUGGGUUGGUAAGUCAGUGGUGAAAUCUCCGAGCUUAACUUGGAAACUGCCAUUGAUACUAUCAGUCUUGAAUACCGUGGAGAUGAGCGGAAUAUGUCAUGUAGCGGUGAAAUGCUUAGAUAUGACAUAGAACACCAAUUGCGAAGGCAGCUCGUUACACGAAUAUUGACACUCAGGCACGAAAGCGUGGGGAUCAAACAGGAUUAGAUACCCUGGUAGUCCACGCCCUAAACGAUGGAUACUCGACAUUUGCGAUACACAGCAAGUGUCUGAGCGAAAGCAUUA